AACGAACGCUGGCGGCAUGCCUAACACAUGCCAGUCGAACGAGACCUUCGGGUCUAGUGGCGCACGGGUGAGUAACGCGUGGGAACCUGCCCUUAGGUUCGGAAUAACUCCCCGAAAGGGGUGCUAAUACCGGAUAAUGUCUUCGGACCAAAGAUUUAUCGCCUUUGGAUGGGCCCGCGUUGGAUUAGCUAGUUGGUAGGGUAAAAGCCUACCAAGGCGACGAUCCAUAGCUGGUCUGAGAGGAUGAUCAGCCACACUGGGACUGAGACACGGCCCAGACUCCUACGGGAGGCAGCAGUGGGGAAUAUUGGACAAUGGGCGAAAGCCUGAUCCAGCAAUGCCGCGUGAGUGAUGAAGGCCUUAGGGUUGUAAAGCUCUUUUACCCGGGAUGAUAAUGACAGUACCGGGAGAAUAAGCUCCGGCUAACUCCGUG
This 433-nucleotide ribosomal RNA is filed under the name uncultured bacterium. RNAcentral's name for it is "partial 16S ribosomal RNA". It matches the Rfam family "Bacterial small subunit ribosomal RNA", at positions 29 to 507 of the family's 1533-position model. The record is from RNAcentral.